This is a non-coding RNA of Oncorhynchus mykiss (rainbow trout), 4471 nucleotides long. NCBI's taxonomy places the organism in Eukaryota, Metazoa, Chordata, Actinopteri, Salmoniformes, Salmonidae. The record is from RefSeq and is a predicted model, not a curated record.
UGGCUACAUUCGGAUUGGUCGCCGUGCUUACUGAUGACGUACCAGCUAAACGCGCAAUUUGAAAUGUACCAGCUAAUCUAACUAACUAGCUAGCUGUGAAUGAAUCUAGCGGAGCCAUUUUUUAAAAUUAAUUUUGUCAAUUAAUUAAUUUAACUUGCUUGUAAAUUGCUCGUAUUUGUAUUGUUAUAAAAUGUGUUGUUCAUUACACCAUGGAUGUUGGUUCACAUUUACAGAGUUUUGAGCAAAGCUUAAACAACUAUACCGGAGACGACCCACUCGAUCCAUGGGACAGGUUUAUAAAAUAUCUAGAGAAGAGACUACCUGCUGAAGACUCCAAAGCGAUGUCUCUUGUGCUAGAUCGUCUAGUACAAAGAUUUCUCCAAGAAGAGCGUUAUACCAAUGACAUCCGAUACGUAAACUACUGCAUUAAAUGUGCAAGUUAUUACAAUGAGCCCAUCAAACUAUACAGCCACAUAUACAGUAAGGGCAUUGGCACCAGGGAUGCAGUCCUCUAUGUGGCGUGGGCUCAACAGUUUGAGCAGCAGGGCCUGCUUCAACAAGCUGACGCCGUGUACCAGAGAGCCAUUGAAAACCAAGCUAAGCCAACUGGCACUGUCCUUCAGCAAUACAGAAUGUUCCAAACCAGGACUUCUGGAAGUGGGGCAGGGGCUUCAGAAGCUGUACGGAAUCCUCUUCAGAAUUCCAACUUGGUAAAUCAGCUGCAUACCCACAGAGUGCCCAGCCCACAGUGCAAGGACCUUGAACGUCUGUUCCAACUCCCUACAGACAGAACUGUUCGCAUAAUCUCCCGGUCUGAAAAUGUGGUGGUAAAUAAACCCAAUCAAGGCCCGGUUGUGAGCCUGCAGACAGUGUCGAUGUACCGUACGGAAGACCUCGUCUGCGACGGGUCUGAACUAUGCUUCGAGGAGGUCAGGGCCAGACGAUACUUUGUGAGAUGCAAGCAAGAGAAGAAACGGAGAGAGUUUGAGGAACGUCAGAGUUUGGUUAGAGAGCAGGAGGAGGAGGUAAUGAGGAUGAACCGGCUGUUGGAGGAGCUGGAGAGUAAUCUCUGUGUGAGCUCUACAGGCCAGGGAAGCACCGCCAGUGUUCUACCAGUGCAGCAGACACUCUGCACACCUGCAACAGACCUGAAUCCUGAGUUCCUCCAACAUUCCUUAAGGCAACCUCUACUCUCAAGCAACCUCGGCAUCAAACUCACUCCAGGCUUUAGACUGAACAGUGGACAGGACCCCAGACAAGGCUUGGUUAGGGAAUCUGAGACACACCUUCAGUGCGACAAUCUCAGGGCUCCCAUUACAGACACUCUGCGCUCACAGAGAUCUGUUUCCUCAUCUGGACAGUUAGAGGAGGUAAACACCUCCCAUAGACGCUCCCUCCACAUGCCAGAAGCAGCAAUGGGUCACUUGUGUGAAUGUACAAAAGCUCCAAAACCAUUUGCAGUCGCUUCCCAGGCAUAUUCUCUACAAGCUUCUCUAGUUCAGCCCCAACCAGAACAAAACUCUAAGCCAUUUGGGUCGGCCCCACAGAAGCCAGCAGCCUACAGAUCUGACGUGCAGCUUGGUGGAGUUCCAAAUCAGGGUGGUCACUCUCACCUCAGCAGCAUUUUCCAGCAGCACAACGGCAGCGAUCAUCAUGAGGUGUCUGUCAGUGACGCUCCUGAGUCGGAGGUGAAAUUAGAUGUGUCACAGGGAGGGGCUGGAAACGUGUCCCAUAUCACUCCUAACACUUCUCUGGGACUGGGGCAAGCCACCCCGUCCAGGGUGCUCCCAUCCCCCACAGUCAACACACGGGAGGCACUUGAUGCUAUCAUGGACAUGUUCCAGGCUCCAACACUCCUGCAGGAGGACCAGUUCCGCAGCAUGCCAAUGCAUCCACAUCAGACAGAGAACAUUUUUGAUGCUGGCUACCAGAGAACGGGCGAUGCGUCAUUCAGCAAGCCCCGCAAUACAGUCCCUUUCGCCAUCUUUCAGGAUGAGAAUGACAUAAAGGAGAAAUGCAGUGCUGCUAUGGUGGACAAUGCAAAGCCACCAAGGGCCCUAGCAGAAAUCCCUGUCUCUAAACCAGGGAAACAAAAUGAAUCUCCUUCGGAAUUGAUACCAGAUGAGAGCACUAUUUGGGAAGCACGCUACAACUCCCUGGCCGCCUGCCCCAACAGCACCAGAGACUUUUCACUGUCGGCUCACCUGGUCUCCACGCCCUUCCAAAACAAAGCUCCUUACUCCUGGGACUUUGAUCAGGAUCAAGAAAAUUAUCAGCCCAGAGGCUUUGGGGGUCUGGAAGAAGUCCCUUUCCUACGACAGCCCACAAAACUCAGCCCUAUCAUAGAGCAGAGCCCACCUGAUGGGUUACCUGAGACUGGCACGGAUUGCUGUAUGAGAGCUCAGGGCUUUGCUGAGCAGGGCACCAUUGUGGGAGAAGGGCUAGCCCUGGCCCAGCGAAGCCUGGCUAUCUGCUCCAUGACUGAAGUGCAGCAUCAUGCCCCGGCCGCACUGUCCUUCAGAGACCAGACUGCCCCCCUGACCCAUGCUGAGGUGGCAGUGGCCAAAAGCCCUCCUUCCAAGGCCUCAAAGCCAGACUGGGAUGUCUAUGUGAGCCCAGAGCAGUCCUCAAAGCCAGCUUUUCCUCUCCCACAGCGUGCACCUGUGGCAGAAGCAUUAAUUUCAAAGAGCCAGAUCUAUGCCCUCAAAUCCAACUUUGAUGUUCCAACUUGUCCAGAGAAAGCCCCAAUGGCUGCCUUCGAUAUCCCCAUGAGUCCGGAGUGUGCACCCAAGUCAGACUGGUUAGUGGUCAAAAGCCCAGAGGUUGUGGUUGAACCUGACUUGGAUGCCUUCAUGAGUGCCCGUCAGGGUCAGAGAACAGUCAGCAUCCUUCUGGAGACCGUGGACAUCCCCAUGAGUCCAGAUCCACCUAAAUUUGGCUCGGAUGUGACCAUGAGUCCAUUCCAGUCAUCAUCAAAGUUCAUAAUGGAUAUUCCUAUGAGCCCAGACCAAGGUUCAAAGGUGAACAUGGAUGUUCCCAUGAGUCCAGCAGCUCAAGGGGCAGCGGCUGUAGAGCUGGUCUCCGACCCCUGGGAUGAGGAGCUGAUUUCCUCCCUGCUCUCCAAGCUGUCCACACCACUCACCUCACAGCCUAACUUCAUCACCUGGCAGUGCAAAGUCCCCAGCAUUGCACCCAAGAUGACCAUCAAGAUCGGUGAAGGCUCCUUACGUGUUGACUGUGUACUCGGACAGGGUGCCUUUGUCACAGUCUACCAGGCAACUGACCUUAACACCUCAGAGAAGAUGAUUUUAAAGGUGCAGAAACCAGCCAAUCCGUGGGAGUUUUACAUCAACUCUCAGCUGAAUGCCCGGCUGCAGCCCAGCGUGCGCCACCUCUUUAAUAACAUCCACUCUGCCCACCUCUUCCAGAACGGUAGUGUGCUAUUGGGCGAGCUCUACAACUGUGGCACCCUAUUGAAUGCUGUAAACCUGUACAAGAACCUUCGUGACAAGGUGAUUCCCCAGCCUCUGGUGAUCUACUUCACUAUCUGCAUCCUGCACAUGGUGGAACAGCUGCACAAUAUCCACAUUGUUCACGCUGACAUCAAACCAGACAACUUCCUGCUGGGAGAGAGGUUCCUGGAGAAAAAGUAUUUUGACCAAGAUUAUCUGGAUCAUGGCCUCUCCCUAAUUGACCUGGGUCAGAGCAUUGACAUGACUCUGUUCCCAGAGGGCACGGCAUUCAACGCCAAGUGUAUGACCUCUGGCUUCCAGUGUACAGAGAUGCAGAGUGGGAGACCAUGGAACUACCAGUUUCUUUGUUUUAGACGGACUACUUUGGUAUAGCAGGAACGGUGUACUGCAUGAUUUUUGGAACAUACAUGCAAGUGACACAGGAGGGUGGCGUGUGGAAGACAAAUGCAGUAUUUAGAAGAAAUCCCCACAGUGAUCUGUGGACAGAGUUCUUCCACACUCUGCUGAAUGUACCUGACUGCAGCUCCCUGCCCUGCCUGCGGAGCCUGCGCAGUAGACUGAGCACUGUGCUCCAACAGAACUACAGCAACAAGCUGCCGUCACUGAAGACCCGCCUGGUUAUCCAGCUGUUAGAGAGCAGGACGACACAGAGAUAGAACUCCCUGAGAACCUUUCUACUCCUGGGUCCUGUUCAGUAGGUAUACAAUUAAAGAAAGCGGUCUGAAACUGAGUGGAACUUGGGAGAUACUAUCUGGACUUUAUGAACAACCCUAAUGAACACGACCCUGGAUGGAUACUACUGCGAAGUCGAAUUUCUAGUCCAUUUGUAAAUACAAAAGAUUGACCUUAAAUCGGGUCUGGUCACUGUGAUAACCUUUUAUGCAUUUUAAUGUUUUUUUAGUGACAACCAUUUGUCCAUUUAAAUAACAGAAAUUGUGAGGUUGGCGAUGUUAUGGUGUAUUUAAAUUUGUAAAGAAUAAAUAACAUUUUAAACAUUU